RNAcentral lists this ribosomal RNA (254 nucleotides) under uncultured bacterium. RNAcentral describes it as "partial 16S ribosomal RNA". It matches the Rfam family "Bacterial small subunit ribosomal RNA", at positions 524 to 776 of the family's 1533-position model. The record is from RNAcentral.
UACGGGGGGGGGCAAGCGUUGUUCGGAAUUACUGGGCGUAAAGGGCUCGUAGGCGGCCAACUAAGUCCGACGUGAAAUCCCCAGGCUUAACCUGGGAACUGCGUCGGAUACUGGAUGGCUUGAAUUCGGGAGAGGGAUGCAGAAUUCCAGGUGUAGCGGUGAAAUGCGUAGAUAUCUGGAGGAAUACCGGUGGCGAAGGCGGCAUCCUGGACCGACAUUGACGCUGAUGAGCGAAAGCUAGGGGAGCAAACAGG